RNAcentral lists this ribosomal RNA (253 nucleotides) under uncultured bacterium. RNAcentral's name for it is "partial 16S ribosomal RNA". It matches the Rfam family "Bacterial small subunit ribosomal RNA", at positions 524 to 776 of the family's 1533-position model. The record is from RNAcentral.
UACGUAGGGUGCGAGCGUUAAUCGGAAUUACUGGGCGUAAAGCGUGCGCAGGCGGUCUGUUAAGACCGAUGUGAAAUCCCCCGGCUCAACCGGGGAAUUGCGCCUGAUGCUGGCGGGCUAGAGGUCGAUAGGGGUGAGCGGAACUCCAGGUGGAGCGGUGAAAUGCGUAGAUAUCUGGAGGAACACCGGUGGCGAAAGCGGCUCACUGGAUCGAAACUGACGCUGAGGUGCGAAAGCUAGGGUAGCAAACGGG